UAGGGAAUCUUCGGCAAUGGACGAAAGUCUGACCGAGCAACGCCGCGUGAGUGAAGAAGGUUUUCGGAUCGUAAAACUCUGUUGUUAGAGAAGAACAAGGACGUUAGUAACUGAACGUCCCCUGACGGUAUCUAACCAGAAAGCCACGGCUAACUACGUGCCAGCAGCCGCGGUAAUACGUAGGUGGCAAGCGUUGUCCGGAUUUAUUGGGCGUAAAGCGAGCGCAGGCGGUUUCUUAAGACUGAUGUGAAAGCCCCCGGCUCAACCGGGGAGGGUCAUUGGAAACUGGGAGACUUUAGUGCAGAAGAGGAGAGUGGAAUUCCAUGUGUAGCGGUGAAAUGCGUAGAUAUAUGGAGGAACACCAGUGGCGAAGGCGGCUCUCUGGUCUGUAACUGACGCUGAGGCUCGAAAGCGUGGGGAGCAAACAGG
This 429-nucleotide ribosomal RNA is filed under the name Gemmatimonadota bacterium. RNAcentral describes it as "Gemmatimonadetes bacterium partial 16S ribosomal RNA". It matches the Rfam family "Bacterial small subunit ribosomal RNA", at positions 355 to 776 of the family's 1533-position model. Lineage: Bacteria; Pseudomonadati; Gemmatimonadota. The record is from RNAcentral.